This 449-nucleotide ribosomal RNA is filed under the name uncultured bacterium. Its description in RNAcentral is "partial 16S ribosomal RNA". It matches the Rfam family "Bacterial small subunit ribosomal RNA", at positions 29 to 523 of the family's 1533-position model. The record is from RNAcentral.
AACGAACGCUGGCGGCAUGCCUAACACAUGCAAGUCGAACGAGAUCUUCGGGUCUAGUGGCGCACGGGUGCGUAACGCGUGGGAAUCUGCCCUUUGGUUCGGAAUAACAGUCGGAAACGACUGCUAAUACCGGACGAUGACGAAAGUCCAAAGAUUUAUCGCCAGAGGAUGAGCCCGCGUAGGAUUAGCUAGUUGGUGUGGUAAAGGCGCACCAAGGCGACGAUCCUUAGCUGGUCUGAGAGGAUGAUCAGCCACACUGGGACUGAGACACGGCCCAGACUCCUACGGGAGGCAGCAGUGGGGAAUAGUGGACAAUGGGCGAAAGCCUGAUCCAGCAAUGCCGCGUGAGUGAUGAAGGCCUUAGGGUUGUAAAGCUCUUUUACCCGGGAUGAUAAUGACAGUACCGGGAGAAUAAGCGCCGGCUAACUCCGUGCCAGCCGCCGCAGUAA